GUAUUGUAUGAAAGGAGAGAGGGUCAAUGUUCCCCUUGAUCAGAAUGGAAGAGGCCGCCAUUGAACACACAUAGAUAAAGGAUCGCCACCUUCUUUGUGGAAUCUAACCAUGUUUUU
This 117-nucleotide non-coding RNA is filed under the name Castor canadensis (American beaver). The record is from RNAcentral. Lineage: Eukaryota; Metazoa; Chordata; Mammalia; Rodentia; Castoridae.